This 475-nucleotide ribosomal RNA is filed under the name Pterocaesio tile (dark-banded fusilier). RNAcentral describes it as "partial small subunit ribosomal RNA". It matches the Rfam family "Bacterial small subunit ribosomal RNA", at positions 788 to 1491 of the family's 1533-position model. Lineage: Eukaryota; Metazoa; Chordata; Actinopteri; Lutjaniformes; Lutjanidae. The record is from RNAcentral.
CACUAUGCCUAGCCAUAAACAUUGAUAGUAACCUACACCUACUAUCCGCCCGGGUACUACGAGCAUCAGCUUAAAACCCAAAGGACUUGGCGGUGCUUUAGAUCCACCUAGAGGAGCCUGUUCUAGAACCGAUUACCCCCGUUCAACCUCACCUUUCCUUGUCCCUCCCGCCUAUAUACCACCGUCGUCAGCUUACCCUGUGAAGGGCUCAUAGUAAGCAAGAUUGGCAUAGCCCAAAACGUCAGGUCGAGGUGUAGCGUAUGGAAAGGGAAGAAAUGGGCUACAUUCACUAACACAGUGAACUACGAACGAUACGCUGAAACACGUAUCUGAAGGAGGAUUUAGCAGUAAGCAGAAAAUAGAGCGUUCCGCUGAAACCGGCCCUGAAGCGCGCACACACCGCCCGUCACUCUCCCCGAGCUUACAAACUCAAAUACUUAAAACCUUAAAAUUGCAAAGGGGAGGCAAGUCGUAA